RNAcentral lists this ribosomal RNA (254 nucleotides) under uncultured bacterium. RNAcentral describes it as "partial 16S ribosomal RNA". It matches the Rfam family "Bacterial small subunit ribosomal RNA", at positions 524 to 776 of the family's 1533-position model. The record is from RNAcentral.
CACGUAGGGUGCGAGCGUUGUCCGGAAUUAUUGGGCGUAAAGAGCUCGUAGGCGGUGUGUCGCGUCGGCCGUGAAAACCUGCAGCUUAACUGUGGGCUUGCGGUCGAUACGGGCAUCACUGGAGUUCGGCAGGGGAGACUGGAAUUUACGGUGUAGCGGUGAAAUGCGUAGAUAUCGUAAGGAAGACCAGUGGCGAAGGCGGGUCUCUGGACAGUUCCUGACGCUGAGGCACGAAGGUCAGGGGAGCAAACGGG